CCUACGGGUGGCAGCAGUGGGGAAUAUUGCACAAUGGGGGAAACCCUGAUGCAGCGACGCCGCGUGAGUGAAGAAGUCCUUCGGUAUGUAAAGCUCUAUCAGCAGGGAAGAAAAAAGACGGUACCUGACUGAGAAGCCCCGGCUAACUACGUGCCAGCAGCCGCGGUAAUACGUAGGGGGCAAGCGUUAUCCGGAUUUACUGGGUGUAAAGGGAGCGUAGACGGCUGUGUAAGUCUGAAGUGAAAGCCCCGGGCUCAACCCGGGGACUGCUUUUGAAACUGUGGAGCUUGAGUGCAGGAGAGGUAAGUGGAAUUCCUAGUGUAGCGGUGAAAUGCGUAGAUAUUAGGAGGAACACCAGUUGCGAAGGCGGCUUACUGGACAGUAACUGACGCUGAGGCUCGAAAGCGUGGGGAGCAAACAGGAUUAGAUACCCUAGUAGUC
This 441-nucleotide ribosomal RNA is filed under the name uncultured bacterium. RNAcentral's name for it is "partial 16S ribosomal RNA". It matches the Rfam family "Bacterial small subunit ribosomal RNA", at positions 338 to 795 of the family's 1533-position model. The record is from RNAcentral.